CAAUUCAGAAAAAAGCGCCUUUGAGAUCCUGCGUUCAGGUUCGAGCAUCGCGCAGCGAUACGACAACGCGCAGCGUUGCCCGCAGGGUGAGGCCACAGGCCGAAUCAAUCCUGCACGACCCACCC
Molecule: small RNA, 125 nt
Filed under: Serratia marcescens
Lineage: Bacteria; Pseudomonadati; Pseudomonadota; Gammaproteobacteria; Enterobacterales; Yersiniaceae
Description: RtT sRNA
Rfam family: RtT RNA
About the family: This family represents a bacterial cis-regulatory element known as RtT RNA.
Source: RNAcentral